Molecule: ribosomal RNA, 924 nt
Filed under: uncultured Bacteroidota bacterium
Lineage: Bacteria; Pseudomonadati; Bacteroidota
Description: bacterial SSU rRNA
Rfam family: Bacterial small subunit ribosomal RNA
Source: RNAcentral
GGAUCCAGACUUUGAUCAUGGCUCAGGAUGAACGCUAGCUACAGGCUUAACACAUGCAAGUCGAGGGGAAACGAUAUUGGAAGCUUGCUUCCGAUAGGCGUCGACCGGCGCACGGGUGAGUAACGCGUAUCCAACCUGCCCAUCACUUGGGGAUAACCUUGCGAAAGUAAGACUAAUACCCAAUGACGUCCAUAGAAGACAUCUGAAGUGGAUUAAAGAUUUAUCGGUGACGGAUGGGGAUGCGUCUGAUUAGCUUGUUGGCGGGGUAACGGCCCACCAAGGCGACGAUCAGUAGGGGUUCUGAGAGGAAGGUCCCCCACAUUGGAACUGAGACACGGUCCAAACUCCUACGGGAGGCAGCAGUGAGGAAUAUUGGUCAAUGGACGAGAGUCUGAACCAGCCAAGUAGCGUGCAGGAAGACGGCCCUAUGGGUUGUAAACUGCUUUUAUAAGGGAAUAAAGUGAGUCUCGUGAGACUUUUUGCAUGUACCUUAUGAAUAAGGACCGGCUAAUUCCGUGCCAGCAGCCGCGGUAAUACGGAAGGUCCGGGCGUUAUCCGGAUUUAUUGGGUUUAAAGGGAGCGUAGGCCGGAGAUUAAGCGUGUUGUGAAAUGUAGACGCUCAACGUCUGCACUGCAGCGCGAACUGGUUUCCUUGAGUACGCACAAAGUGGGCGGAAUUCGUGGUGUAGCGGUGAAAUGCUUAGAUAUCACGAAGAACUCCGAUUGCGAAGGCAGCUCACUGGAGCGCAACUGACGCUGAAGCUCGAAAGUGCGGGUAUCGAACAGGAUUAGAUACCCUGGUAGUCCGCACGGUAAACGAUGGAUGCCCGCUGUUGGUCUGAAUAGGUCAGCGGCCAAGCGAAAGCAUUAAGCAUCCCACCUGGGGAGUACGCCGGCAACGGUGCAACUCAAAUGAAUUGACGG